CCUGCUAAAUAGCCCAGUGAGUGAAUUCUCACUGACUGCUGGCUUCUUAGAGGGACGUGCAUUCUAUCAGAUGCAGGAAGAUAGUGGCAAUAACAGGUCUGUGAUGCCCUUAGAUGUCCUGGGCCGCACGCGCGCUACACUGAUGCAUUCAACGAGUUCACCUUGGCCGAGAGGCCUGGGCAACCUUUUAAACGUGCAUCGUGAUAGGGAUAGAUUAUUGCAAUUAUUAAUCUUGAACGAGGAAUUCCUAGUAAACGCAAAUCAUCAAUUUGCAUUGAUUACGUCCCUGCCCUUUGUACACACCGCCCGUCGCACCUACCGAUUGAAUGGUCCGGUGAAGCCUCGGGAA
Molecule: ribosomal RNA, 349 nt
Filed under: Navicula cryptocephala
Lineage: Eukaryota; Bacillariophyta; Bacillariophyceae; Naviculales; Naviculaceae
Description: SSU rRNA
Rfam family: Eukaryotic small subunit ribosomal RNA
Source: RNAcentral